This 258-nucleotide ribosomal RNA is filed under the name uncultured bacterium. Its description in RNAcentral is "partial 16S ribosomal RNA". It matches the Rfam family "Bacterial small subunit ribosomal RNA", at positions 524 to 776 of the family's 1533-position model. The record is from RNAcentral.
UACGGGGGGAGCAAGCGUUGUUCGGAUUUACUGGGCGUAAAGGGCGCGUAGGCGGUCGUGACAAGUCACUUGUGAAAUCUCCGGGCUUAACUCGGAACGGUCAAGUGAUACUGUCGGACUAGAGUACAGAAGGGGCAACUGGAAUUCUCGGUGUAGCGGUGAAAAUGCGUAGAUAUCAGGAGGAACACCGGUGGCGAAGGCGGGUCUCUGGGCCGUAACUGACGCUGAGGGAGCGAAAAGCGUGGGGGAGCGAACAGG